RNAcentral lists this long non-coding RNA (501 nucleotides) under Mytilus galloprovincialis (Mediterranean mussel). The record is from RNAcentral. Lineage: Eukaryota; Metazoa; Mollusca; Bivalvia; Mytilida; Mytilidae.
CUGGGUUUCCGCCUGCAUUAAUCAAGACAUAUUAAGAUUUUAAUCUGCUUCCUCUUGAACCAUACACAUGGGCUCGAUUACCGAAUAUUCAUAUGUAUUAUUAAUGUUUUUAUGCUCCAUUUAUGAACGUUAUGUUUUUCUGGUCUUUGCGUUUGUCCGUUUGUCCAGCUUCAGGUUAAAUCAACUUGAAACUUAGUCCAAAUUUUCCCUAUGGUAUGAUCUUUUUAAUUAUAAUGCCAAAUUACAGUUCUAUCCCAUUUUCACGGUCCACUAAACAUAGAAAAUGAUAGUGUAGAUGAGGCAUCCGUGUACUAGGAACACAUUCAUGUUUCUUCAAAUUUUCGUCGUAUCGCUGUCAAUUUGUAUUAAAAUUUUAACGUGACGUUAUCAAUAAAUAUUUCAUUGUUUACGAGAAAUAUGCAAUUUACUAUCAUUGUCAUGAACCCAAAAUACGGCCAAUAGUAUAAAAAAAGAAAUUUAUGAAAAAUAUUUAUAUCCGCU